GGCUCGUUGGUUCUAGGGGUAAUGAUUCUCGCUUUGGGUUGCGAGAGGUCCCGGGUUCAAAUCCCGGACGAGCCC
This 75-nucleotide transfer RNA is filed under the name Astyanax mexicanus (Mexican tetra). It matches the Rfam family "tRNA". From Rfam's summary of the family: Transfer RNA (tRNA) molecules are approximately 80 nucleotides in length. Their secondary structure includes four short double-helical elements and three loops (D, anti-codon, and T loops). The record is from Rfam by way of RNAcentral. Lineage: Eukaryota; Metazoa; Chordata; Actinopteri; Characiformes; Acestrorhamphidae.